This 500-nucleotide ribosomal RNA is filed under the name uncultured bacterium. RNAcentral describes it as "partial 16S ribosomal RNA". It matches the Rfam family "Bacterial small subunit ribosomal RNA", at positions 28 to 523 of the family's 1533-position model. The record is from RNAcentral.
GAUGAACGCUGGCGGCGUGCUUAACACAUACAAGUCGAACGGGAAUGUUUCGCUGAUGCGAUUUCGGUCAAAUCUUGAAGCAUUUUAGUGGCGGACGGGUGAGUAACGCGUGGGUAACCUGCCCUGUACAGGGGGACAACAGUUGGAAACGACUGCUAAUACCGCAUAAGCGCACAGCUUCGCAUGAAGCAGUGUGAAAAACUCCGGUGGUACAGGAUGGACCCGCGUCUGAUUAGAUAGUUGGUGAGGUAACGGCCCACCAAGUCAACGAUCAGUAGCCGGCCUGAGAGGGCGAACGGCCACAUUGGGACUGAGACACGGCCCAAACUCCUACGGGAGGCAGCAGUGGGGAAUAUUGCACAAUGGGGGAAACCCUGAUGCAGCGACGCCGCGUGAGUGAAGAAGUAUUUCGGUAUGUAAAGCUCUAUCAGCAGGGAAGAAAACAAUGACGGUACCUGACUAAGAAGCCCCGGCUAACUACGUGCCAGCCGCCGCCGUAA